CCUACGGGAGGCAGCAGUGGGGAAUAUUGCACAAUGGGGGAAACCCUGAUGCAGCGACGCCGCGUGAAGGAAGAAGGUUUUCGGAUCGUAAACUUCUAUCAGCAGGGAAGAAAAAUGUGACAGUACCUGACUAAGAAGCCCGGGCUAACUACGUGCCAGCAGCCGCGGUAAUACGUAGGGGGCAAGCGUUAUCCGGAAUCACUGGGUGUAAAGGGUGCGUAGGCGGUAGGGAAAGUCAGAUGUGUAAGCCCGGGGGUCAACCCCGGGACUGCAUUUGAAACUGUCUUACUAGAGUGCAGGUGAGGAAAGCGGAAAUCCUAGUGUAGCGAUGAAAUGCGUAGAUAGAAGGACGAACACCAGUGGCGAAGGCGGCUUUCUCGACUGUAACUCACGCUGGGGCACGAAAGCGUGGGGAGCGAACAGGAUUAGAUACCCUUGUAGUC
Molecule: ribosomal RNA, 443 nt
Filed under: uncultured bacterium
Lineage: Bacteria
Description: bacterial SSU rRNA
Rfam family: Bacterial small subunit ribosomal RNA
Source: RNAcentral